Molecule: ribosomal RNA, 460 nt
Filed under: uncultured bacterium
Lineage: Bacteria
Description: partial 16S ribosomal RNA
Rfam family: Bacterial small subunit ribosomal RNA
Source: RNAcentral
CCUACGGGAGGCAGCAGUGAGGAAUAUUGGUCAAUGGACGCGAGUCUGAACCAGCCAAGUAGCGUGCAGGAAGACGGCCCUAUGAGUUGUAAACUGCUUUUGUACGAGGGUAAACCCAGACACGCGUACCUUUCUGCAAGUAUCUUACGAAUAAGGAUCGGCUAACUCCGUGCCAGCAGCCGCGGUAAUACGGAGGAUUCAAGCGUUAUCCGGAUUUAUUGGGUUUAAAGGGUGCGUAGGCGGUCGGAUAAGUUAGAGGUGAAAGACUGAGGCUCAACGUUGAAAUUGCCACUGAUACUGGUAGGCUAGAGAGUAGUUGAGGUAGGCGGAAUGUGGGGUGGAGCGGUGAAAUGCUUAGAGAUCAUGCAGAACACCGAUUGCGAAGGCAGCUUACCAAGCUACGACUGACAUUGAGGCACGAAAGCGUGGGGAGCAAACAGGAUUAGAUACCCUUGUAGUC